UCCCUGGUGGCUCAGAUGGUAAAGCAUCUGCCUGCAAUGUGGGAGACCCGGGUUUGAUCCCUGGGUUGGGAA
Molecule: transfer RNA, 72 nt
Filed under: Cervus elaphus hippelaphus
Lineage: Eukaryota; Metazoa; Chordata; Mammalia; Artiodactyla; Cervidae
Rfam family: tRNA
About the family: Transfer RNA (tRNA) molecules are approximately 80 nucleotides in length. Their secondary structure includes four short double-helical elements and three loops (D, anti-codon, and T loops). Further hydrogen bonds mediate the characteristic L-shaped molecular structure. tRNAs have two regions of fundamental functional importance: the anti-codon, which is responsible for specific mRNA codon recognition, and the 3' end, to which the tRNAs corresponding amino acid is attached (by aminoacyl-tRNA synthetases). tRNAs cope with the degeneracy of the genetic code in two manners: having more than one tRNA (with a specific anti-codon) for a particular amino acid; and 'wobble' base-pairing, i.e. permitting non-standard base-pairing at the 3rd anti-codon position.
Source: Rfam by way of RNAcentral